RNAcentral lists this ribosomal RNA (711 nucleotides) under uncultured bacterium. RNAcentral describes it as "bacterial SSU rRNA". It matches the Rfam family "Bacterial small subunit ribosomal RNA", at positions 59 to 768 of the family's 1533-position model. The record is from RNAcentral.
CAGUCGAACGAAGCACUUUAAUCGAUUUCUUCGGAUUGAAGUUUUAGUGACUGACUGGCGGACGGGUGAGUAACGCGUGGGUAACCUGCCUCACACAGGGGGAUAACAGUUGGAAACGGCUGCUAAUACCGCAUAAGCGCACAGUACCGCAUGGUACGGUGUGAAAAACUCCGGUGGUGUGAGAUGGACCCGCGUCUGAUUAGCUAGUUGGCAGGGCAACGGCCUACCAAGGCGACGAUCAGUAGCCGACCUGAGAGGGUGACCGGCCACAUUGGGACUGAGACACGGCCCAAACUCCUACGGGAGGCAGCAGUGGGGAAUAUUGCACAAUGGGGGAAACCCUGAUGCAGCGACGCCGCGUGAGCGAAGAAGUAUUUCGGCAUGUAAAGCUCUAUCAGCAGGGAAGAAGAAAUGACGGUACCUGACUAAGAAGCACCGGCUAAAUACGUGCCAGCAGCCGCGGUAAUACGUAUGGUGCAAGCGUUAUCCGGAUUUACUGGGUGUAAAGGGAGCGCAGGCGGAAGGCUAAGUCUGAUGUGAAAGCCCGGGGCUCAACCCCGGUACUGCAUUGGAAACUGGUCAUCUAGAGUGUCGGAGGGGUAAGUGGAAUUCCUAGUGUAGCGGUGAAAUGCGUAGAUAUUAGGAGGAACACCAGCGGCGAAGGCGGCUUACUGGACGAUUACCGACGCUGAGGCUCGAAAGCGUGGGGAG